Molecule: long non-coding RNA, 442 nt
Organism: Helianthus annuus (common sunflower)
Lineage: Eukaryota; Viridiplantae; Streptophyta; Magnoliopsida; Asterales; Asteraceae
Exons: 2
Source: RefSeq, a predicted model, not a curated record
GUAUAAAUGAUUAUAUAAUAAUAUACAUAUACAUAUGUAUGUGUGUGUGAGUGUGUUAUAUAUCAUCACCACAACAUUAACUCUACAUAUGAUUAAGAUGAGAUCUGCAACUCUGCUCUCUCUUGUUCUCUUCAUCCUCAUCUUAUCUCAUGAGAAUCUUGAUGCCAAACCAGACAUGACUUCUUUCAAUUCAGUCCAUGUGGGAAAGAAGACGAAGGGUGAGCAAGAAAAUCAAAAUGAGUCGGAAGAAAGUGGCUUUGAGGACCAAGAUUACAUCUAUACUCAAUCUAUCCCUUAGAUUCAAAUGUAUGUAUGUAUGUAUGAUGCAAGCAAAUUUGAUGGAGUUAACUAUGUUUCAUGGUCAACUUUUAGGAACUUUUUGUUUAUUUAAUUUCAUUAGUAUAUAUUAAUAACAAGUACAAGUCUGUGUAUUUUUUUUUAA